GUGGGGAAUUUUGGACAAUGGGCGCAAGCCUGAUCCAGCAAUGCCGCGUGCAGGAAGAAGGCCUUCGGGUUGUAAACUGCUUUUGUACGGAACGAAACGGUCCGGGUUAAUACCCUGGGCUAAUGACGGUACCGUAAGAAUAAGCACCGGCUAACUACGUGCCAGCAGCCGCGGUAAUACGUAGGGUGCAAGCGUUAAUCGGAAUUACUGGGCGUAAAGCGUGCGCAGGCGGUUUUGUAAGACAGGCGUGAAAUCCCCGGGCUCAACCUGGGAAUUGCGCUUGGGACUGCAAGGCUGGAGUGCGGCAGAGGGGGAUGGAAUUCCGCGUGUAGCAGUGAAAUGCGUAGAUAUGCGGAGGAACACCGAUGGCGAAGGCAAUCCCCUGGGCCUGCACUGACGCUCAUGCACGAAAGCGUGGGGAGCAAACAGGAUUAGAAACCCUGGUAGUCC
Molecule: ribosomal RNA, 450 nt
Filed under: uncultured bacterium
Lineage: Bacteria
Description: partial 16S ribosomal RNA
Rfam family: Bacterial small subunit ribosomal RNA
Source: RNAcentral